GAGACACCCUAAUGGGGCAGGACUUGCUUCAGUGGGAUGUUAGUGCUCACUGAGUCUGUCCCUUGAGUGGGCCACU
RNAcentral lists this microRNA precursor (76 nucleotides) under Myotis davidii. RNAcentral's name for it is "mir-9229 microRNA precursor family". It matches the Rfam family "mir-9229 microRNA precursor family". The record is from Rfam by way of RNAcentral. Lineage: Eukaryota; Metazoa; Chordata; Mammalia; Chiroptera; Vespertilionidae.